GAUGAACGCUGGCGGCGUGCCUAACACAUGCAAGUCGAACGGAGAUUAGACGCUGACGAGACUUCGGUCAAAUCUUGUUUAAUCUUAGUGGCGGACGGGUGAGUAACGCGUGGGCAACCUGCCUCAUACUGGGGGAUAGCAGUUGGAAACGACUGAUAAUACCGCAUAAGCGCACGAGAUCGCAUGAUCUUGUGUGAAAAACUCCGGUGGUAUGAGAUGGGCCCGCGUCAGAUUAGCUAGUUGGUAAGGUAACGGCUUACCAAGGCGACGAUCUGUAGCCGGACUGAGAGGUCGGACGGCCACAUUGGGACUGAGACACGGCCCAAACUCCUACGGGAGGCAGCAGUGGGGGAUAUUGCACAAUGGAGGAAACUCUGAUGCAGCGACGCCGCGUGAGUGAAGAAGUAUUUCGGUAUGUAAAGCUCUAUCAGCAGGGAAGAAAGGCUCGUAAGAGAGAUGACGUAC
This 465-nucleotide ribosomal RNA is filed under the name bacterium AD2009. Its description in RNAcentral is "bacterial SSU rRNA". It matches the Rfam family "Bacterial small subunit ribosomal RNA", at positions 28 to 478 of the family's 1533-position model. The record is from RNAcentral.